This 442-nucleotide ribosomal RNA is filed under the name uncultured bacterium. Its description in RNAcentral is "bacterial SSU rRNA". It matches the Rfam family "Bacterial small subunit ribosomal RNA", at positions 29 to 506 of the family's 1533-position model. The record is from RNAcentral.
ACGAACGCUGGCGGCAUGCCUUACACAUGCAAGUCGAACGCGAAAGUCCUUUCGGGGAUGAGUAGAGUGGCAAACGGGUGAGUAACGCGUGGGAAUCUACCUUUAGGUGCGGAAUAGCCUCGGGAAACUGGGAUUAAUACCGCAUGAUAUCUUCGGAUUAAAGAUUUAUCGCCUAAAGAUGAGCCCGCGUCAGAUUAGCUAGUUGGUGGGGUAAAAGCCUACCAAGGCAACGAUCUGUAGCUGGUCUGAGAGGACGAUCAGCCACACUGGGACUGAGACACGGCCCAGACUCCUACGGGAGGCAGCAGUGGGGAAUAUUGGACAAUGGGCGCAAGCCUGAUCCAGCAAUGCCGCGUGAAUGAUGAAGGCCUUAGGGUUGUAAAGUUCUUUUAGUGGGGAAGAUAAUGACGGUACCCACAGAAAAAGCACCGGCUAACUUCGU